This 253-nucleotide long non-coding RNA is filed under the name Coffea arabica (coffee). RNAcentral describes it as "long non-coding RNA (CARA_LNC005876)". The record is from RNAcentral. Lineage: Eukaryota; Viridiplantae; Streptophyta; Magnoliopsida; Gentianales; Rubiaceae.
UCCGCAAGAAAAAAGGAUACUUGGGUGAGAUGGCUCCAUUCUGUGAUGUUAAAAGCUGAUAGCAUUUGGCGAGUCACAACACCGGUGGACUGUUCUUGGGUGUGGAGGAAGGUUCUUAAGUUUAAGACUUCUGAUUUCCUCUUAGAGACUAAAGUACAGGUGAAGAAUGGUUAUGUCAAGAGUACUCACUACUGCUAUGAUAACUAGCAUUCUUUAGGUCCACUACAUCUUAGAUUCUCUGAAAAUUUACUCA